RNAcentral lists this ribosomal RNA (460 nucleotides) under uncultured bacterium. RNAcentral describes it as "partial 16S ribosomal RNA". It matches the Rfam family "Bacterial small subunit ribosomal RNA", at positions 338 to 795 of the family's 1533-position model. The record is from RNAcentral.
CCUACGGGAGGCAGCAGUGAGGAAUAUUGGUCAAUGGACGAGAGUCUGAACCAGCCAAGUCGCGUGAAGGAUGACGGCCCUAUGGGUUGUAAACUUCGUUUAUAUGGGAAUAAAAUGUUCCUCGUGGGGGAUUUUGUAUGUACCAUAUGCAUAAGGAUCGGCUAACUCCGUGCCAGCAGCCGCGGUAAGACGGAGGAUCCGAGCGUUAUCCGGAUUUAUUGGGUUUAAAGGGAGCGUAGGUGGAUUGUUAAGUCAGUUGUGAAAGUUUGCGGCUCAAACGUAAGAUUGCAGUUGAAACUGGCAGUCUUGAGUGCAGGAGAGGUGGGCGGAAUUCGUGGUGUAGCGGUGAAAUGCUUAGAUAUCACGAAGAACUCCGAUUGCGAAGGCAGUUCACUGGACUGCAACUGACACUGAGGCUCGAAAGUGUGGGUAUCAAACAGGAUUAGAUACCCCAGUAGUC